GCAGUGUUUGGAAAUCGAACAACGCGACUCGAUUUCUCGCAACGCGACCCGAGAAAUCGAGUUUGUAGUCAUCUCAGGCGCAAAUUAUACUCUCCUAGGCUGUCUUGUUCGAUUUUCAAAGCUUCAUAGAAGAAGAGUGACGAAAGAAUGCAUCUUUAGUGGCUAAAAGACCUUUGAUGGGGUUGUAUCUUGUAUGUGUGAGAGUUGUUGCUUUUGGUUGAUCACUUAGCAAUUGAGGAAUAAAGCAAGACGAUUGAUCAAAAUUGUAUCUAGUGGCUCUUAAAAAUUGAGCCUUUAUUGAAUUAGUGUGCAUGUUAGUCAUGAGAAACUGAUUCUUAAAGGUCUGUUUUUGAUAAGUUGUAGUACUAAGGUGUUAUAAUGAUGUUCUAUGAUCUAUGUUUAGGCAAUGUGUGUUAGUAUUAGGUCAUAUGUAUAGUUUAUCUUAGUUGGCUUGUUUGUAUGUGACAAUGAUGCACCAUCUCUGUGUAUUUUGGAGUUAAUGACGGUAAAAAGCUUCUAUCUACAUAUAUACUUGCACAACUAAACACGAGAGCUAAAAUAUGCACACUUGUUUGCAUCCACAAACCACAAGUAAUGUGUGUGAGACAGAGAAAACAUGAAUUGCCAUGUACAAGGGAUCACACUACAUAGUUAAAGAUCAUACUACCACAAGCAUAGCUGUGGCAUUGGCUUGCUUAAAUUUUUGUAAGAGUAUUGUCUAUUGAAGCGCUGAAUCGAAUAGCAGAGCCGAUAAGUGUGGUGGAUCUUCGUUGUUCCAGUUCAGGUAAUGUUCUUUCUUGUUUUGGGUGUUAGCAAAUUUUUAUCCAUGUCUUCUUCUACUUUGCAAAUGUUCUGUUAUUUUUCUUUGUUGCAGAUUUCUCAAGUCGUGAUUUCCUUACAGCUUCUUGGAUUUGCCUCUCAUGGUCUUUCAGAAUGUCCUCAAUGUUUCCUCCGGGAGGCAUCAAUGGACCCGAACAGUGCAUUCUAUUCUUCUUGCG
This 998-nucleotide long non-coding RNA is filed under the name Capsella rubella. RNAcentral's name for it is "long non-coding RNA (CRUB_LNC002320)". Lineage: Eukaryota; Viridiplantae; Streptophyta; Magnoliopsida; Brassicales; Brassicaceae. The record is from RNAcentral.